RNAcentral lists this ribosomal RNA (492 nucleotides) under uncultured bacterium. RNAcentral's name for it is "partial 16S ribosomal RNA". It matches the Rfam family "Bacterial small subunit ribosomal RNA", at positions 29 to 507 of the family's 1533-position model. The record is from RNAcentral.
AGUGAACGCUGGCGGUAGGCCUAACACAUGCAAGUCGAACGGCAGCACAGUAAGAGCUUGCUCUUACGGGUGGCGAGUGGCGGACGGGUGAGGAAUACAUCGGAAUCUACUUUUUCGUGGGGGAUAACGUAGGGAAACUUACGCUAAUACCGCAUACGACCUACGGGUGAAAGCAGGGGAUCUUCGGACCUUGCGCGAUUGAAUGAGCCGAUGUCGGAUUAGCUAGUUGGCGGGGUAAAGGCCCACCAAGGCGACGAGCCGUAGCUGGUCUGAGAGGAUGAUCAGCCACACUGGAACUGAGACACGGUCCAGACUCCUACGGGAGGCAGCAGUGGGGAAUAUUGGACAAUGGGCGCAAGCCUGAUCCAGCCAUACCGCGUGGGUGAAGAAGGCCUUCGGGUUGUAAAGCCCCUUUGUUGGGAAAGAAAAGCAGCAGGUUAAUACCCCGCUGUUCUGACGGUACCCAAAGAAUAAGCACCGGCUAACUUCGUG